GACGAACGCUGGCGGCGUGCUUAACACAUGCAAGUCGAACGGAAAGGCCCUGCUUUUGUGGGGUGCUCGAGUGGCGAACGGGUGAGUAACACGUGAGUAACCUGCCCUUGACUUUGGGAUAACUUCAGGAAACUGGGGCUAAUACCGGAUAGGAGCUCCUGCUGCAUGGUGGGGGUUGGAAAGUUUCGGCGGUUGGGGAUGGACUCGCGGCUUAUCAGCUUGUUGGUGGGGUAGUGGCUUACCAAGGCUUUGACGGGUAGCCGGCCUGAGAGGGUGACCGGCAACAUGGGGACUGAGAAACGGCCCAGACUCCUAAGGGAGGCAGCAGGGGGGAAUAUUGCCCAAUGGGGGGAAGCCUGAUGCAGCAACGCCGCGGGGGGGAUGACGGCCUUCGGGUUGGAAACCGAUUUCGCCUGUGACGAAGCGUGAGUGACGGUAAUGGGUAAAGAAGCCCCGGCUGACUACGU
RNAcentral lists this ribosomal RNA (467 nucleotides) under uncultured bacterium. RNAcentral describes it as "partial 16S ribosomal RNA". It matches the Rfam family "Bacterial small subunit ribosomal RNA", at positions 28 to 506 of the family's 1533-position model. The record is from RNAcentral.